RNAcentral lists this small RNA (297 nucleotides) under Castor canadensis (American beaver). RNAcentral describes it as "Metazoan signal recognition particle RNA (ENSCCNG00000024902.1)". It matches the Rfam family "Metazoan signal recognition particle RNA", at positions 1 to 200 of the family's 299-position model. From Rfam's summary of the family: The signal recognition particle (SRP) is a universally conserved ribonucleoprotein. It is involved in the co-translational targeting of proteins to membranes. The eukaryotic SRP consists of a 300-nucleotide 7S RNA and six proteins: SRPs 72, 68, 54, 19, 14, and 9. Lineage: Eukaryota; Metazoa; Chordata; Mammalia; Rodentia; Castoridae. The record is from Rfam by way of RNAcentral.
GCCGGGCGCGGUGGUGCGCGCCUGUAGUCCUAGCUACUCGGGAGGCUGAGACAAGGAGGAUCGCUUGAGUCCAGGAGUUCUGGGCUGCAGUGCGCUAUGCCGAUCGGGUGUCCGCACUAAGUUCGGCAUCAAUAUGGUGACCUCCUGGGAGCGGGGGACCACCAGGUUGCCUAAGGAGGGGUGAACCGGCCCAGGUCGGAAAGACCUUAAUAGAGUAAAACGCUGAAGUUUACAAUUGAGUUAGGUGUUGGCAAGGUUACUGAAAGGAUAAGAGAAAAAAAAUAUGAAAACGUCAUU